CCAUUCACCUCAGAUUUUACAAGAAGCUGAUAGUGCUACUACUAUUUACUUGGAAGCCGAGCCGGUACUAUAAAUAUCCUUCUCUCUCUCUCUCUCUUCUCUUUUCUCCCCCCUCAGUCAGUGAGUCAAACGGCGGGAAAACGGAAGUGUUUUUGGCGAAAAUCUGAAAUCUCAACCCCCUUUCAAAAACCAACACACACCCAAAUCCCGCAUUUUCAAAACCCUAAAAUUUGAGAGAGAAGUUUCUCUCUCUUCUCCUCUUUCAUGGCGUUUUCUGCCUCGCAAACCUUAAUUCAGGAGAACUGCCAUGAACAACACCUCCAACAACAACAACAACAACAUCAUCAUCAUCAACAACAACAACAACAGUUGCCAGAUUUACGGAAAUUGGCAACUGCUGAAGAAGAUAUCGACAAUCAUUACGCUGGAACUCCGAUUAAGUUUCUCCCUCUUUGCCAUGUUUACUCCGCUACUUCGCCAUGCGUCAGUGCUAGCGGUUCCUCCAAUGUGGUCUCGAAGAAGGUUCGAGCUCGUAAAUUAACCCUAAUUGACGGCUGUCUUGACGAUCACCAGCAUGAUGAUGAUGAGGAGGAGGAGAAGAGAGGAGUGGGGGAGGAACUUAAGAGUGAGCCUCAAUCAGAUUCACGGAAGGUGAUUCGGGUUUACUCUCGGCGGGUGAAGAAGAAGCCUGUUCAGGAGGGGGAGGGAAUUGCUGUGAAAGCGGAGCCGGUUGAGGAGGAAGGUUUUGUUGGGGAUGUAUUGGUUGGUUUUCCUAAUAAAAGAAGGCGGGUUGGCUGUUCAGAGCUUCUCAAAUUGGGCGUGGAUUCCAGUGUUUUGAGUAGGCUUAAUGGCCCCAGAUUGCGAGAAUCGCGAUUUCAGUAUAAUGUUAAUGCUACCAAAUCUGUUGUCAAGAAAAAGAAGCAGAAUUCUUCUGUUAAUCACAAGAAUCAAGAUGACUGGCGGCUUAAAAAAUGGUUCCAGUUAGCUUUUGAUGGUGUUGAUCCUAUGGCAUUUAUUGGUUUAGAAUGUCAGGUUUACUGGCCAUUGGACGAUGUUUGGUAUGGAGGUUCUAUUACUGGCUAUGAUGCCGAAUCUAACAAGCACAAACUUAAGUAUGAGGACAAUGAUGAGGAAGAACUGAUAUUGUCAUUUGAACAAAUUAAAUUUCAUAUAUCUGGAGAGGAAAUGAUGAACUUAAAUUUCAAAGGAAAAGAAAUAAAGGAUGAUGAUGAUCCGGAUUACAGUCAGUUGAUGGGACUAGCUGCUACUGUGGAUGAGAGUCGAGAGCUUGAGCCUGGGGAUAUCAUUUGGGCAAAACUUACGGGUCAUGCCAUGUGGCCGGCAAUCAUUAUGGACGAAUCACUUGUUAGUGACCGCAAAGGAUUGAAUAAGUGCUCAGGAAGAAGAUCAAUUCCUGUGCAAUUCUUUGGAACUCAUGACUUUGCAAGAAUACAGGUUAAACAGACAGUAUCUUUCGUGAAAGGACUCUUUUCGUGUUUUCAUUUGAAGUGCAAGUCCUCACGUUUUAUUCGAAGCUUGAAAGAAGCAAAAAUGUACUUGAGCGAGCAGAAACUUCCUAAAAGCAUGCUGAACAUGCAACAUGUAUCCACUGAUGUUCAAACUGUUGAUUCGGAUGAAGCUUCAAUGAGGGAUGAUGAAUUGUCGUACUCAAAAGGGCCAAUUAAACUCAUUUCACGCAGAUCGUUGUCUGAUAGAUACCAAAACAUGCCCAGUGGUCACUGGGGUAUCAAUAUUAAUUGGAAAGAUCUUGAUAGAUGCAAUGUGUGCCACAUGGAUGAGGAGUAUGAGAACAACUUGUUCCUGCAGUGUGAUAAAUGCAGAAUGAUGGUUCAUGCCAGGUGCUAUGGGGAGGAGUCUGUCGAUGGUAGACUUUGGCUGUGUAACUUGUGUCGAGUUGGAGCACCUGAAUCCACUCCGGCCUGUCGUCUUUGCCCUGUUGUAGGUGGAGCUAUGAAGCCCACAACUGAUGGUCAUUGGGCUCAUCUAGCUUGUGCUAUCUGGAUUCCUGAAACGUGCUUAGCUGAUAUAAAGAGAAUGGAGCCAAUAGAUGGUCUGAGCAGAAUUCAUAAGGACCGCUGGAAGCUGUUAUGUAGUAUUUGUCAUGUCCCAUAUGGAGCAUGCAUCCAGUGUUCUAACAGCACUUGUCGUGUUGCCUAUCAUCCACUCUGUGCACGUGUUUCUGGCUAUUGUGUUGAGCUGGAAGAUGAAGACAGACUUCAUCUCAUUUCACUAGAUGAAGACGAGGAAGAACAGUGUAUUCGCUUACUUUCCUUCUGCACGAAACAUAAGCAGCCAUCUAAUGAUCGUCCGAUUGUGGAUGAGGGAAAUGGAAAAAAAUCUCGUCAGAAUUCAAGCUAUAUCCCGCCAUCGAAUGAAUCUGGCUGUGCACGUUGUGAGCCUUAUGAUUAUUCUGCCAGAAGAGGACGUAAAGAACCGGCCGCAGCAUCAGCAAAACGUUUAUUUUUAGAGAAUAUGCCACACCUUGUUGGUUGUUAUUAUGUGCAUGAUUCCAUGUCUCGCACCUCCGAGGAGGACAAUGUGGAUACUGGCUCUAAGUUUUCUUCAGCAAUUCAAAGUGGAUCGUCAAACCAGGAAGCUCUGCCAAGCAUACUUUCGAUGGCUGAUAAAUAUAGAUACAUGAGGGAGACUACUAGGAAACGAUUAGCAUUUGGUAAAUCUAGAAUACAUGGAUUUGGGAUCUUUGCGAAGCAGCCACAUAAAGCUGGAGAUAUGGUUAUUGAAUAUACUGGCGAAGUUGUUAGACCUCCGGUGGCUGAUCGAAGAGAACACUUAAUAUACAAUUCAUUAGUUGGUGCUGGAACUUAUAUGUUCAGGAUUGAUGAUGAGCGUGUUAUUGAUGCUACGCGGGCAGGAAGUAUUGCUCAUUUGAUCAACCAUUCAUGUGAACCAAACUGUUACUCUAGAUUUAUAACUGUUAGUGGUGAUGUACACAUUAUAAUUUUUGCCAAAAGAGAUAUUAAACAAUGGGAGGAACUGACUUAUGACUACAGGUUCCUUUCCAUAGAUGAACAACUUUCAUGUUAUUGUGGAUCCGAAAGAUGUCGAGGGGUAGUUAACGAUAUUGAAGCUGAACAGCAGGCUGCUAAGCUCUAUGUUCCUCGCAGUGAGCUGAUUGAUUGGAGGGGAGAAUAAGAGCUGAUUGAAAUGACGAACAGGUUUGAAUGAUCUGUGCUGGGCUGUUACAUUGUCGUCCAAUAUUGAAAGAUGAGAAAAUGCCCAAAACUUCUGUUUGUUAUAGGAUAAACAUAAAAGGCUGACAGAAUUAGGAAUGGAUGAAGGUUGUGGGCCGCAUUCCUCAAACAUGGGAUCUGGUUUUCCUUUGCCUUCAGCUAUAGUUUGUCCUUGGUUUGUUUAUUUGCAUUAUGUACGCAGUCACAACGUGGGAGCACGGGUUCCCCUCCUUAUCCAGAAGACCCCUACUGUCAAUUGCUGCCCCUCUGAGAUUCUUACUGUUGGAGACAGCAUAUCUCUUCCCUACAAUUCGCUCUCAUCUCAGACUGCCUUCCUUCUCUUGUUUUUGGGAAGAAGAGCUACGUUUCUUCUUCAGCUUUCUCAUUGUUAAACACAGAGGAAGUGUUUGAGCUUCUCAUGCUUGAAGCUUUUUCUGGAUUUUCUUGUCCCCUCGGAUUUUCUUCCUUAUGUCUUCUAGUUAGCUUCAUGGGGUCCAUGAGCAUAGCUUUGUAUUUACAUAGACCAUACAUGUUUCGGAUCUUUCAUUCGUUAGUUCCAGCCUUACCAUAUUUUCAUGUGCUUCAAAAAAAAAAUAGUACUAAUCUUUUGCAUCUCUUUUUCUUUUAUGUUCUCUCUUUGGCACUUAUCCUUGGCACUUUUUUGGGAUGUUUAGUGCGUCCUCAUUCUCCCAUUGAUGUUUUUGUGACUUGAUAAUAAAGGAUGAUGAAAGGUUAGAUCGGA
RNA transcript from Beta vulgaris subsp. vulgaris (sugar beet), 3954 nucleotides. It is a transcript of the gene named histone-lysine N-methyltransferase ATX2, with no coding region annotated. The transcript is spliced from 24 exons. Lineage: Eukaryota; Viridiplantae; Streptophyta; Magnoliopsida; Caryophyllales; Amaranthaceae. The record is from RefSeq and is a predicted model, not a curated record.